This 74-nucleotide transfer RNA is filed under the name Candidatus Pseudomonas adelgestsugas. RNAcentral's name for it is "tRNA-Gly". It matches the Rfam family "tRNA". From Rfam's summary of the family: Transfer RNA (tRNA) molecules are approximately 80 nucleotides in length. Their secondary structure includes four short double-helical elements and three loops (D, anti-codon, and T loops). The record is from RNAcentral. Lineage: Bacteria; Pseudomonadati; Pseudomonadota; Gammaproteobacteria; Pseudomonadales; Pseudomonadaceae.
GCGGGUGUAGUUUAGUGGUAAAACCUCAGCCUUCCAAGCUGAUGAUGCGGGUUCAAUUCCCGCUACCCGCUCCA